CCUACGGGAGGCAGCAGUGAGGAAUAUUGGUCAAUGGACGAAAGUCUGAACCAGCCAAGUAGCGUGAAGGAUGACUGCCCUAUGGGUGGUAAACUUCUUUUAUAAAGGAAUAAAACGAGGCACGUGUGCCUUUUUGCAUGUACUUUAUCAAUAAGGCACGGCUAACUCCGCGCCAGCAGCCGCGGUAAUACGGAGGAUCCGAGCGUUAUCCGGAUUUAUUGGGUUUAAAGGGAGCGUAGAUGGGUUGUUAAGUCAGUUGUGAAAGUUUGCGGCUCAACCGUAAAAUUGCAAUUGAUACUGGCAGUCUUGAGUACAGUUGAGGUAGGCGGAAUUCGUGGUGUAGCGGUGAAAUGCUUAGAUAUCACGAAGAACCCCGAUUGCGAAGGCAGCUUACUAAACUGUGACUGACAUUGAUGCGCGAAAGUGUGGGUAUCAAACAGGAUUAGAUACCCCAGUAGUC
Molecule: ribosomal RNA, 460 nt
Filed under: uncultured bacterium
Lineage: Bacteria
Description: partial 16S ribosomal RNA
Rfam family: Bacterial small subunit ribosomal RNA
Source: RNAcentral